CACAACAUCUGUGUCACCAAGAGGAUCCCUCUCCCUAGGCAACACCAUCAGCCGGUGCCGGAGGAAGGUGCCGACCCUGUGGACCAUGCAGGGCAUGAAGAUGUCGGUGGACGACUAGUCCGUACACGUAUUAUUAAUGCUUUAUAAAUGUUAUAAACUAUUGCUUCACUUAAAAUAAUUCUGCCAUAAAAAAUAAGCCACAAAGAAAGUCCAGUAGGUUUAUAAUAAACUCUUUUUUAAUUUACA
Micropterus dolomieu (smallmouth bass) is the source of this 246-nucleotide long non-coding RNA. RefSeq lists it as uncharacterized. Lineage: Eukaryota; Metazoa; Chordata; Actinopteri; Centrarchiformes; Centrarchidae. The transcript is spliced from 2 exons. The record is from RefSeq and is a predicted model, not a curated record.